UGCUCCCUGGGAUACAUGUUCUAAUCAGUAAUGUCCCUGUGCCGAUAAUUUUGACUUAAGGGUGAAUGUUUGGCUGACAUUGUGCAAGCUCGGCUCGUAUCGAGAAGCCUUAGGAAGUUAUCGUUUACCCGCCUUGAACCUACGGUUCAAGGGCUAAGCUGAUAACGGUAUCUUGGGGAGCAA
This 183-nucleotide non-coding RNA is filed under the name Parashewanella spongiae. RNAcentral's name for it is "Shewanella spongiae 6S / SsrS RNA". It matches the Rfam family "6S / SsrS RNA". From Rfam's summary of the family: E. coli 6S RNA was the first non coding RNA to be sequenced, but its function was unknown until recently. It consists of 184 nucleotides that fold into an extended hairpin structure with a large single-stranded internal bulge. Lineage: Bacteria; Pseudomonadati; Pseudomonadota; Gammaproteobacteria; Alteromonadales; Shewanellaceae. The record is from Rfam by way of RNAcentral.